Molecule: ribosomal RNA, 292 nt
Filed under: uncultured bacterium
Lineage: Bacteria
Description: partial 16S ribosomal RNA
Source: RNAcentral
GGACUACAGGGGUAUCUAAUCCCGUUCGCUCCCCUGGCUUUCGCGCCUGAGCGUCAGAUGCCUCCCAGGACACUGCCUUCGCCUUAGGUGUUCCUCCAGAUCUCUACGCAUUUCACCGCUCCACCUGGAAUUCCAUGUCCCUCUGAGGCCCUCAAGUCCCCCAGUUUUCGCACGCCUCUCCCAGGUAAGCCGGGAGCUGUCAGUGCGAACUUGGACGACCGCCUGCGCGCGCUUUACGCCCAGUAACUCCGGACAACGCUCGCCCCCUACGUAUUACCGCGGCUGCUGGCAC